Molecule: ribosomal RNA, 253 nt
Filed under: uncultured bacterium
Lineage: Bacteria
Description: partial 16S ribosomal RNA
Rfam family: Bacterial small subunit ribosomal RNA
Source: RNAcentral
UACGUAGGGUGCGAGCGUUGUCCGGAAUUAUUGGGCGUAAAGAGCUCGUAGGCGGUCUGUCGUGUCGGCUGUGAAAACUCGGGGCUCAACCCCGAGCCUGCAGUCGAUACGGGCAGACUAGAGUGCUGUAGGGGAGACUGGAAUUCCUGGUGUAGCGGUGAAAUGCGCAGAUAUCAGGAGGAACACCGGUGGCGAAGGCGGGUCUCUGGGCAGUAACUGACGCUGAGGAGCGAAAGCGUGGGGAGCGAACAGG